Long non-coding RNA from Vicia villosa (hairy vetch), 856 nucleotides. RefSeq lists it as uncharacterized. The record is from RefSeq and is a predicted model, not a curated record. The transcript is spliced from 3 exons. NCBI's taxonomy places the organism in Eukaryota, Viridiplantae, Streptophyta, Magnoliopsida, Fabales, Fabaceae.
GGAUCAAACUAAAAUGGUAUUGGGAUAUGUAACAUAUGCAGAUGAAGAAAUAAUUCAUGCAAUAGAAGCCGGAUCAAACUAUAAUGAUACAAACUCUGAGGUACAAACUCCAGCCAUGGAAAUUGUACCGAAAGAAUUUGUAGGUUGAUCUUCGGAGAGGAAGAGGGCGAUGGUGUGUUGCGGAGUAUGCUGUGAACAAGGACAUAACCAACUGUCCUGUUUCAAAACAUCCGGAGAAAGCGGUUUGAGACAGUAAUGUCCUGAUUAGUUUGUGAGAACAAUUUCUGUUAAAUUGUUUGACUCUUUCUAGACUUUGGAUGGUUUGUGUUCGGUUUUCAACUUUAAAAGAUAUUUUGCCACAUACAUACAGGCAUAUGCGAUUAUGCUAUGGUAGUUCCUCUCUAUCUCGAUCUAGAUCUUAAAAUCUUACAAUUUUGCGAUCUCACGCACCCUCAACGAUCUCAAUUUUAAGUAAAAUUGUGUGUUGUAGCCAAAUUGUGAAAAACCGUAAAAUCGAUGAUUUUACGUGAUCUUGGCUAAUAUCGACCAUGAUCGGCCGUUUCCGGCCACUACCAUUACAAGUCCAAAAGGAUGACAACUGACAAGAUAGGCACAACAAUUAUUGUUUGACGGCCACUAUCAUUACAAGUCCGAAAGGAUGACAGGAUAGGCACAACAAUUAUUGUUUGGUGGUGGUGAAUGAAUACAUGCCUUUUAAAAUCAUGAAGUUUAAUCAUCUCGGCUGUAGGGUUUGUUUUAAAUAAUGGGACUAUGAUAAACCAAGUCGUAAAAUAAAUGUGUCUCUAAAGUCAGGCAAAGAAUAUGAAAGAGGGUCAUUUUCCUAUUAAUACAUUUG